This 459-nucleotide ribosomal RNA is filed under the name uncultured Pediococcus sp. Its description in RNAcentral is "bacterial SSU rRNA". It matches the Rfam family "Bacterial small subunit ribosomal RNA", at positions 341 to 792 of the family's 1533-position model. Lineage: Bacteria; Bacillati; Bacillota; Bacilli; Lactobacillales; Lactobacillaceae. RNAcentral also lists the same sequence under 1 other name. The record is from RNAcentral.
ACGGGAGGCAGCAGUAGGGAAUCUUCCACAAUGGACGCAAGUCUGAUGGAGCAACGCCGCGUGAGUGAAGAAGGGUUUCGGCUCGUAAAGCUCUGUUGUUAAAGAAGAACGUGGGUGAGAGUAACUGUUCACCCAGUGACGGUAUUUAACCAGAAAGCCACGGCUAACUACGUGCCAGCAGCCGCGGUAAUACGUAGGUGGCAAGCGUUAUCCGGAUUUAUUGGGCGUAAAGCGAGCGCAGGCGGUCUUUUAAGUCUAAUGUGAAAGCCUUCGGCUCAACCGAAGAAGUGCAUUGGAAACUGGGAGACUUGAGUGCAGAAGAGGACAGUGGAACUCCAUGUGUAGCGGUGAAAUGCGUAGAUAUAUGGAAGAACACCAGUGGCGAAGGCGGCUGUCUGGUCUGUAACUGACGCUGAGGCUCGAAAGCAUGGGUAGCGAACAGGAUUAGAUACCCUGGUA